AUCAGCUAGCAAAAGCAAUCAAUGGCUGCGUGCUCCUCUUUUUCAAGAGUAGUGCUUUCACAGGGGAGGUCUAACCCUAACCCCUGGAAGCAAAUUGAAUCGGCCCCAGCAGUAGCCCACAUUGCUUGUUAAUGUCAAAUGCACUGGGACACAAAUCAUGAAUUCGAUCUCACCUGUUCUUCACACAACAAUAAUAUCUCUCCUGGUCCUGGAUUUUAGUUACAACUAAAGGCCAAUCUCACUAUACAUGUUUUUAUUAACCCAGUACUAGCUAACAAAUUAAUGCCUCUAUGGCACCCACUUUCUAGCUAAAUUCAAUGACUAACGACAUGACCACCUAACCCGUGAU
This 349-nucleotide unclassified non-coding RNA is filed under the name Hevea brasiliensis (rubber tree). The record is from RNAcentral. Lineage: Eukaryota; Viridiplantae; Streptophyta; Magnoliopsida; Malpighiales; Euphorbiaceae.